Triticum aestivum (bread wheat) is the source of this 1423-nucleotide long non-coding RNA. RefSeq lists it as uncharacterized. The transcript has 3 exons. Lineage: Eukaryota; Viridiplantae; Streptophyta; Magnoliopsida; Poales; Poaceae. The record is from RefSeq and is a predicted model, not a curated record.
CUCUAUCCCACUGGAAUCGCCUCACCUCGCCUCUGUUCGCCAUGGCCGCUUCGGUCUCUCCUUGGUCCCGGUGUGCCUAGCCCCUCUGCUCUCCUCCCGAGCUGUCCACGAGCUUCCCCUGGUCCCCGCGGUUCGCCCAACCCCUUGCCCCUCGCCGGUGCCGCGUGCUCCUCGUCCGGCUGCCGCGCGAUCCUUUCGGUUGCCUCCCCGUCUCGCCCAUCCCGACCCCCUCACUCCCUCUAGUCGCCACCACCAGCUUCCUCACCCUCCGGCGACUCUCCCCACGCUCUUCUCCUGCCAACGGAGCCACCAGGGCCGUCGUCCCCGCGUGCAACGACCGGCGCCCGCCCCUCUGUUCCCCUCGAAGUUCCGCUUCUUCUCGUCCUCCCCGGCGUCCAGUUCCUCUCUAAACGGGUGCGGCACGCCACCCUGAAGCCGCCGGUGCUCUCGUAUUGUCCUGGAGUGGCCGGAGUCGGCGGGGCCAGCGCCGGCAGCGCCCCUGUCCUCCUCCCCUGCUUUCUGUCGUGGCCAGGCACGGGUGGAAGAAGAAGACAGGGGAAGGAGAGAGAAGGAUAAGGUGGGCCCCGCAAGUCAUCCUCUGCCCGUUGACCCCACCACUGCCACGUCAUGGAUUUGUUUGCUGAAGAAAUAUUCACAGAUUGGUCCUUCUUCUUCCACACCUCAUAACUCCGCAACCGUAACUCCGAUUGAGCCCCUCCGAGAAAGAACUACCCGACGUUUCGUUCUGCGGCUUCACCGUACUUCUUCCCGGAGUCUCCGUCACCCCCAGGCAAGCCACAACAACCACUUGCAUGAUAGUCAUGCAGUAGCCAUGGUUUCCAACUUGAAUAUUUAAUAAAUGUCUGCUUGUUUUGAUAUGGUUAUCGUUGUUUCAGUGAUGCUUAUAGAUUCGUUUUCACGGUGAUACUAUGCUCUUUUGCAUCUUGUUAUCUUGCACUUAUUACUAGUAUUAUUGUUAUCUGUCAUACUUGAUAGUAGUUGAUAUGCAUAUUUAUGAGUUGUUAUCUAGUGUCGUUGAUAUGCAUGUUACUUUGUAUCCUGCUGGUUAUAUGUUUACUUGGUAGUAGUCUGGAUGAGUUCUUGCAUGUUAUUUAUUUAUGAUGCUAGUGGUCAUGAUAUGCUCAUGUGUAAUGUUAUGUCCGUCAGCUUACCAUGAUCAUCUGUUUAAUGUUUCAUUAUGGUUAUUCUCGAUGAAUAUGUUGCACCUCCAUGUUUAUGUUCAUUCAUGUUCAUGCGUUGUUAUUGCAUCAUGUUAUUUUAAUAUGACUCAACUUCUUACAUUCAAGUUUAAUUGGACUUAAUUGAACUUGAACAACUGUUGGUUGAGUCAUGGUGCCACCAUAUCGAGCUGACCAGUGCAACCACACUUACCUAGUGGGAAGGUCCUAACUGGGUCUAUUGU